This 559-nucleotide long non-coding RNA is filed under the name Sinocyclocheilus grahami. RNAcentral's name for it is "lncRNA (ENSSGRG00000011099.1)". Lineage: Eukaryota; Metazoa; Chordata; Actinopteri; Cypriniformes; Cyprinidae. The record is from RNAcentral.
AUAUAAUUGCAUUGUACUGUAAAGGGUGCAUUAAAAAUGCUUGCAGAAAGCACUAUAUUUGUGUUCUUUGAAGUAUAUACUGUUACCAUGGUAUUUUGGACCCUUGUAAUGGUGCAUAUAAACCACAUUCAUUCUGAAUCCUGAAAUUCCCAUCCAGUGCCCAGCCGCCUCCUGUCUAUUCCCACCCAACCUCGGGCAGCUAUAGCAUCCAGGCGGCCCCUGGAGUGGCCCAUGCUGUGACGGCCUCGUACCCCACCGCCCAACAGGCGAGUCCCGCGGUCACCGCCCCCUACCCCACCUACCAGCCCCAUCCUGCCCCCAACUACUGCUACCAGCAGCCCGAAACGUCUCCGCAGCUGACGACCCCCCAUCAAACCUACCAGGUGCUGACCGAACCGGAGAAUUAUAGCUACGGUCGACUGCCGUCGGUCAGCAGCUACGACAACAAGCAGUACUUUCAAACGAGCAUCGCACCUGUGCAGCAAACCGCAACCGAGGCCUACUUCCAGACAGGGUUGAAAACCGGCUACGGUACGACGAGCACAGCAUACAGUCAGCC